AGAUCACUAGCUUAACUGGAAAGAGCCGUUGAAUACGAAUCAACGUGAUGUAGGUUCGACUCCUACGUGGUCUACCA
RNAcentral lists this transfer RNA (77 nucleotides) under Alphaproteobacteria bacterium. RNAcentral describes it as "tRNA-Arg". It matches the Rfam family "tRNA". From Rfam's summary of the family: Transfer RNA (tRNA) molecules are approximately 80 nucleotides in length. Their secondary structure includes four short double-helical elements and three loops (D, anti-codon, and T loops). Further hydrogen bonds mediate the characteristic L-shaped molecular structure. tRNAs have two regions of fundamental functional importance: the anti-codon, which is responsible for specific mRNA codon recognition, and the 3' end, to which the tRNAs corresponding amino acid is attached (by aminoacyl-tRNA synthetases). tRNAs cope with the degeneracy of the genetic code in two manners: having more than one tRNA (with a specific anti-codon) for a particular amino acid; and 'wobble' base-pairing, i.e. permitting non-standard base-pairing at the 3rd anti-codon position. Lineage: Bacteria; Pseudomonadati; Pseudomonadota; Alphaproteobacteria. The record is from RNAcentral.